This is a small nuclear RNA of Phodopus roborovskii (desert hamster), 107 nucleotides long. Lineage: Eukaryota; Metazoa; Chordata; Mammalia; Rodentia; Cricetidae. The record is from RefSeq and is a predicted model, not a curated record.
AUGCUCGCUUUGGCAGCACAUAUCCUAAAAUUGGAAAUAUACUGAGAAGAUUAACAUGACCGCUGUGCAAGGAUGACACGCAAAUUUGUGAAGCGUUCCAUAUUUUU